This is a long non-coding RNA of Orcinus orca (killer whale), 1284 nucleotides long. RefSeq lists it as uncharacterized. The record is from RefSeq and is a predicted model, not a curated record. NCBI's taxonomy places the organism in Eukaryota, Metazoa, Chordata, Mammalia, Artiodactyla, Delphinidae. The transcript has 2 exons.
AGCACGCUGUGGAGGACACGGAUGGUUGCCAUCCCCACUGCUAUGUGUGGGCUGGAGAUCAAAGAGCUUACCCAGUCGGAGGGUGUGACGACAUAACAUCGGUGAGAACCACCGCAUGCUCCCCGCCCCCCACCAGAUGACCCCACAUGGCCCAGCUACGGGCAUGACUGCUCAUGGAUGGAAGAAGUGACCUUCCCACCCAACCUGGCCCCAAGUCUAGCUACCAGUCUACUCACCCACCUGUCUGAGCUGAGCCUCCGCGCUAGGUCAGGUGGGUGAGUCAGGGCUCACUCCCCUGAACGGCACCAUCCCGACAACAGAUGUGGCUACCAGAAGCCAAGGUUUGAGAAGAGCAGGGACCCAAGGACAGGUACACCUGUUGUGUGUGGUGGGGGGAAGUCUCCAAAGGGUCUAGAGCCCAGAGGGACCCUGCUCUAGAAGGGAGUAGCCUGAGGAGAGAGGUGAACUGGGAGAUGCUGUUACCAGAAAUAUGGUAGCAAGAGGUACAGUAUGUGGGCGGGGGCUGGUUAAUCAAAUUCACUCUUCUGUCUACCCCCAACAUUACCCUCCACGUGCAUUCAUUUCUACUUAAUUCAUAAGAUAUACCCUGAAUGCUGAAGAUGUGCUGCGAGCAGCCCUAGAUGUUGGGACGACAGAGACAAGUGAAGUGCCGGGCCCUACCUGGGAGUGCUGGUGGGGUGGGGGAUGGGAGGGUGAGCAGGAAAAGCUUUGCAGAGAAGAUGCUGCCCCAGCUGAUUCUUGACAUAUAAGCAGCUGGACAAGGCAGGAAAGGGAUUCCAGGCUGAGGGAAUAGCCUGAGAAAAGGCAGGGCAGUGACACAGCCUGGCAUGUUACAGGAACGAUAAAGAUUUCAGUGUGGGUGGGGCAUAGGGUGCAAAGCAGGGUGGAGCGAGAGCUGCAGCCGGAGCCAGAUCCCACGGAGCCUGAAUGACAAGAAUAAGCAGAAACCUGACUGCUGCAGAAAAGGAUUGUCAUUGCCGGUCCUGAGUACUUGUUUACACUGGGAUUGUACUUCCUUGAAAAGGAAGGCUGGACCUGCCCCAACCAUGAGCAGAUGUUACUGCACUGGCCCAACCUGGCCCCUGGGUAUGGCUACUGUGUGUCUAGCAGCCCCUCAAGACUUCCUCAGAUGCUUUCUUUGGGGGGUUGGACCAGAGAGCCUGAUGUAUCUUUCUUUAGUUUCCAAAGCUGCAGCCCAUAAAAGUCAAGGCUGAGAAGGCAUCCAGUAAUUGUAAAGAAUGUUCAAGGAAUCUGUUCUGAUGA